Fukomys damarensis (Damara mole-rat) is the source of this 473-nucleotide long non-coding RNA. RefSeq lists it as uncharacterized. The transcript is spliced from 3 exons. The record is from RefSeq and is a predicted model, not a curated record. NCBI's taxonomy places the organism in Eukaryota, Metazoa, Chordata, Mammalia, Rodentia, Bathyergidae.
CUCUACUUUUGAGAAUGUGCAAACAGUCUGAUCUUAAGAAGACACUUUUCGUGAACGUAAAUACUAAUUUAUUUCCUGCAACCACAUAUAGUAAAACUGAGAGGACGCUUUGGAAUUGUAGCACUGAGGACAAGACCUACAGAUUGGGUCCUGCAGAGUGACAGCUGCUUGCCCUGGGGGACAGAAAAAAACGUGUCCCUCCUCACAACCCAGCCGUGAUGUUGCUAAGUUUCUAUCCCAUGUCUGGUCUUGCAGAAAGGCAAUCAGAAGAGAAAAUCAAACUAUUGCAUAUUGAAUUUCCAUAAGUGCAACAUUUGAUUAGAACUCAAUUUGCCGACAAGACACAGAAGAAGCGGAGGAAGAGGGUGAUACAGAACUUUUGGGACUAAAGGAGAGAGAAAGACAAAGGAACCAUUGCCUGACCCAGGGGAACACACAAGAAAAUCAAGGGCUUUGGACAAACUGAGUCUAAA